Molecule: ribosomal RNA, 291 nt
Filed under: Bacillus sp. (in: firmicutes)
Lineage: Bacteria; Bacillati; Bacillota; Bacilli; Caryophanales; Bacillaceae
Description: Bacillus sp. (in: Bacteria) partial 16S ribosomal RNA
Rfam family: Bacterial small subunit ribosomal RNA
Source: RNAcentral
UAAUGCAAGUCGAGCGAACUGAUUAGAAGCUUGCUUCUAUGACGUUAGCGGCGGACGGGUGAGUAACACGUGGGCAACCUGCCUGUAAGACUGGGAUAACUUCGGGAAACCGAAGCUAAUACCGGAUAGGAUCUUCUCCUUCAUGGGAGAUGAUUGAAAGAUGGUUUCGGCUAUCACUUACAGAUGGGCCCGCGGUGCAUUAGCUAGUUGGUGAGGUAACGGCUCACCAAGGCAACGAUGCAUAGCCGACCUGAGAGGGUGAUCGGCCACACUGGAACUGAGACACGGCCC